This 20-nucleotide microRNA is filed under the name Glycine max (soybean). RNAcentral's name for it is "gma-miR5037b". The record is from miRBase by way of RNAcentral. Lineage: Eukaryota; Viridiplantae; Streptophyta; Magnoliopsida; Fabales; Fabaceae.
AACCCUCAAAGGCUUCCUAG